UUUUGGUUUGUUCUUAUUUUUCUUAUUUCACAUUUAUGUUUUUAAAGUUAUUCCUUCUUUAUUUUUUUAAUCACAGCAAUCCUCCCCUCAUCCAUGGUUUCAUUUUCUAUGGUUCCAGUUACUCAUGGUCAACCAUGGUCAGAAAACAGGACAAACUGAGAGUAAAAGAUGCAGGAAUAAAACACAGAAAUCAAAAUAAAGGGUUUACUGCUGAAAAAUCCGCUUGAACAAGCCUGUUAAUGUGAUCUUCCUGAAUGAAGCCAGCUUACCCCUAGGCCUCCACUGUCCCUCAGGAAAGAGAACACGAAAACUGGAACUCUCUGCAGAAAGGAGGAUCCCAAAGAAGGGGCCAAGCUGUACAUUUAUCAAUCAGGAAAGCCACUCCACCCUCCAUGGCAGCCCCUACAAUUUGAAACAAGUAAAUAAUCAUGUUAUUCAAGGAUAAUGAAUGCAGCCACCAUGUAAUCAUCACUGACUCCAUGGCCAUGAGAAAAGAGACCUAAGAAAUGAUGCCCAUCCAGAAGAGUGAAGACUUCCUGAAAAUGUUCUUUUAACCUAAGAUGUAGGUUAAGAGGAGUGAAAAAAUGUUCUGUUUCUGACUGAUGAUGGAGCAACAAAGGUAUGUUUCUUAUUAAUAACACUGAGCAGUUAGGAAGCAGAUGUGCCUCUCCAGGGAAACUCACAAGUGUCCACUGACCUAGUAUCUGCGGAGAACCAUAGCAGUUGUGGUCUCUCUCCCCAGCUUCAAGCAAGGGCAACUUUUCCCUGUGUCUGGUUCUUUUGCUGUCACCUGAAGCCACAGAAAAUGAUCUGAACCUGCUCAGUCCCUGGACAUAUCUGGGGAAUACAAAGUCUCAGAGUCGCUCUCUAAGAAUUGCCAGCAUGUUCUAGAGAUUCUUUAGAUGCAUAGCUGCAUGGAGCAAAACAGGGUCAGGGGAUGUGUGCCGAGGCCAAGGUCUUCUCUUAUGUUUCAAAAAUAUUAACAUUUCAGGCCUGUCUUCUUUUAAAGGAUAGCUCAUGUAUAUGAUUUUUUAAAAAAAAAUCUACCAAAUCAAAUAAAGAAGUCCUGGGAGUUCACCCGGUGUUUUCUACAGAACCAAGGUAUUCAUAUUGAGAUCCUUCAAUAUAAUCAGCUAUGUGACCUUGGUUAAGUUAAUUAAUGCCUCUGAAACUGAGGUUCCUCAUCUGUGAAAUGGAGAUAUUCAACAAAGCACCCUGUGGGGAUUAGAUGAGAUUGCACAUCUGACUGCCUAGAGUAUAGUAAGGGGUCACUGUUUCCUCUUCACUCCUCAGGAAAAUUUGAUUGAACAAGGAUAGAAACUUUGAUUCUAGGGACAGAAGGUCUUCAGAAGUCUUUGAGGCCAGAGGGCCUGUCAUAGAACUGCAGUGUAGGUUCAUUAAAACGCUGUCAUCCUAAUGUUUAUCCACAGUAUCUAAUAGAUUUAAAAGGAAGACAAUAUGGCACAGACUAUUUCGGAAACCUAUGCCCAUUCUGCCAAGAGGAUAUCGCUAUUGGUGGUCAGACUAUUUCACUUAUAAGGUUUCUUUUUUCCUUAAGUCAUAAAGAUUAACAUUUACUAAAAAUUUGAGGGUCCAUUAAUGGACUCCCACAUGGCUUUCCUCUUUCCUUUGAGCUGGAUUCAUUUUCACUGAGUCCCGAGUCCUGCACAUCUGACAAUUGCUUCAGACCUUGGACAUGCUUGAAUUAUUUUAUGCAAAUCAUUUGAAAAGGCAAAGUACCACUGUUCUUUCUUGAGUUUCUUCGUAAACUGGUUUCUAAUUUAUCUGCUGCUUUUUCUCGAUCCAAUUUGUGCCUAUGUCUUACUAUAGAUUCUUUGGAAAUAAAGAAAUAAAGAAUAUAUCUGUAGCUAUUUUGUUAAACUAAGAAUGUUUUAAAAUAUUUUAUUGUAAAA
Molecule: long non-coding RNA, 1913 nt
Filed under: Homo sapiens (human)
Lineage: Eukaryota; Metazoa; Chordata; Mammalia; Primates; Hominidae
Description: HSALNT0009894
Source: RNAcentral